UGUCCGUUAGUUGCUGCUCCCAGUUCAGUAGGCCCUCUCCAUACCACAGCGCAGCGUCAGAGAUCCCACUACUUCUUGUUUCUAGUCUAGUAUAAAUAAAUGUGCAUCCAAGUCACUGAUCAGGAGCACCAAGCCAGCUAGCAACUCAAAGGAGGAAGACUAGAAGAUAUAUAGCCUUCUCCUUGUGUGACACUCAUAAAUAAACUGUUAGCAGCUUGCGAGCACUGCAAGAUCUUUCUGCUGGCAUCUGAAUAGUCAGCUGCUGGCAUCUAUCCGGGCACCUCUCGACCAGCCAGAGGCAGAUACCUGAUCCCAAACUAGCUGGCCAACAUGGCGAACGAUGACCCUGUGGACGACGAAAACCCCAGAUCCAACACCACUAAUAACAGCAUCAAUGACAAGUUGGCUGAAGUGUUCGACAUGGUCUCAGUCCACAAACAUCAGUAUAAAAUGCCGACGUUCGCCUUCCACACCAACAAGACGAUCACCGAAGCUUUACAUCGGCCUCUACUGCGAGCACAAGCUAGCAUGGUCACAACCUCCUAGCCUAUAUAUGAACUGGUGUUAUCCCGACUGAACUUUUCUUUUUGUUGACACCUUUCGUCAGGCCUCUCCACCAGAGGUUGACUCGUAUGUCUGUUUUCUGGUUUCUCAUACCAGAAUUAACGUUCUUGACCUUGUAAGGCCUCUUCUUGACCUUGUAAGGCUCUCACUCUGUGUCUGCAUCCUUCUCGCAUCCCUUGUUUCCUUCUUUCCCACUACAUGCAGGAUCAGUCCCGAUAUUGCCGUGUUUGCCAGCCUUCUGCAUCCACCUACUUUCUGUUCCCUUCUAUCCCUCCUGAGCUAAUUGUUGCUCCUAUGUAAUCCGUGUUUAUUAUUUCGGUACCAUGAUGAUGAAAUUAGUUUUAAUUUAUUGUAAGACUAGUUCAG
Zea mays is the source of this 930-nucleotide long non-coding RNA. RefSeq lists it as uncharacterized. NCBI's taxonomy places the organism in Eukaryota, Viridiplantae, Streptophyta, Magnoliopsida, Poales, Poaceae. The transcript is spliced from 3 exons. The record is from RefSeq and is marked validated.